AUUAUAGCAUUGCCAAAGGAAUUUAUAAAUCAAUAAUUUUCAUUGAUUGUCCGGAUUUAUUUCGUAGGACUUUCGGCUCAUCAAAACUAAUAUUAUUAAUCUUAUAAAAACAGGUGUUUGGUCACGAAAUUUCGGUCGCCAUGGCUCACUAUCAACCCUAUUGCGAGGAAUUGAAGGAUUCAACUGCAACACAAAAAUUUAUUGAUCUUGUAUUCAAUUUGAUACAAGCUAUGUCUUCGCGUAUACCAAGAGAUGCUCUGUACGUGAAUGAAAAUUGCAGACGAAGAAAGGCAAUCCAGGAAUUUUUAGAAUUCCUUGCAGACUGGGAAAAGCUCGAAAAAAAAAUACCUGUGUCAAGGAGCACGUUAACUGGAUUAAAAGUAACUUUACGGGCAACACUUGAAAUUUUGGAUAUGCUGAAUGUUGCAUGUGAUUACAAGUAUUUGAUGACAGCAACCCUAUCUCAAGAUCCGUUGGAGAGAUUUUUCUCCGUCAUGAGAUAUUCGUGUGGAGGAAACGAUCACCCUGAUCCCAAAAUGUUUGCACAAGUUUACCGAUUGGCGUCUCGUUUUUCCCUAAUACGCCCGGUUGUAAUGUUUCCGGCAAGGAUUUGCUGAAGAACUUACUAGGAGCGAAGGAUCUGGUAACCAUUGAUUCAUGGUUAUGAAGACCAUGAUUACAACGAGGCUGUAAACCAGUGACGCGGUUCAGUCUUACAUUGCUGGGUACAUCGUCCGCAAAUUGCGAAUAAUCGUAAAAUGCAAUAAUUGUUUAAAACUCAUACAAAUGAGUCCUAAUGAGGGAAAACUGUUAGUGAGAAACGACGUAAUCGAUAAAAUGGAUUUAUACGGCGGGUUAAUUUAUGCUAGUGACGAUCUAUUCAAUCUGACCAAAAUGAUAGAGAAAUGUAUGUUAAGAGUAAUAAGCAAAGCUUUAACCAAUAUGGAGACGAUCAGUGAAAUUACGCAAGAAUGACUAAAAGGAGCAUUGAUAAAAGUUGGAUGUGUCGACCAUUUCAAACAUAUAUUAAAAAAUGUUAUCGAUAUGUACGUGGUUAUGCGAGCCCACUUUCUGGCAAAAUAUAAAAAUAAACGUUACGCCGCAGCCAAAACCAAAACUAAAAUGAAUAGGAAAAAUGCCAAGUUAUUGUCUUAAUUACUAAUAGUUCGCCCCGAACUAAGAACUCGCAUUCGCUGAAAACUACCGCGCAGCGCGCACACUCAGGUUUUGAUUUCCAACUCAAUCUCACUAGUGAUACUUAGGUAAGUAAUACUUUAUAUACGAGAUUACCGCCAUGUGGGAUGUUGACUCGACGAUCAUUGUUGCGAUAGUCGUCUCAGCGGACGGUCUCAUAGCGAAGAGUCUCGACCAACACCUAGAGACUGGAACAAGGGUCAGAUGCAGGCAAAUUGUGACAAAACAUUCGCUGAUGUUAACAAGAAAUAACUCAAAAUGUAGUCAAUAUGAUGGGUGCUGAGAAAGGGGCGGCUACAGGGCCUGGGGCCUAGGGCGGCAAAGACUGCAAAUCCGCCACUACAUUAUAUACAUAUAUAAAAAUGUGUUCGGGUGUUUUUUUUUUUUGUUUUGUAAGUGUUUUUUAUAUUUUACUUUUAUAUUAAUAUUAAAAACGAAAAACAAAAAAGAGCCUUUUAUUUCUCGCCGGUAAAACAAACACAAUAUUAUAAACUUAAAUUUACAUUAGGUUUAGUAUUACAAUAAUAUUUAAUAUUCCUCAAAUCAAUGUUCUAUUAUGCUUGGUUAUGUAAUAAGUAGUAAGUAAUUAUAUUUUUUUCUUGUAAUUUAUUCUGCAACAACCCCUCCUGUGAGGGUGAAGGCCUCCUCCAGUGAUGCUGGUCAUCACAAUUUCUGUUCUCUAUCUUUUUCAACUUACAUAUGUAUAUCAAUAUUAAUUUAUAUAUUGGUAUUAAAUACCUACAAAUACAAAUAAUAAAAAGCUAAUAAAUACUCUUAUCGGGAUUCGAACCCGGGACCUCCUGCUUCAUAAGCGGGGUCACUACCGACAAGGCUAAAAGACCGUCAAUAAUUGGUUCACGAUGCACAGUGGCGCCGCGGCGCGGCCUAUUUAAUGUUUUUGAGGGACACUUUUUAAUACAUGAAGAUUGUUUUCCUCAUCUCUA
Molecule: long non-coding RNA, 2138 nt
Organism: Cydia fagiglandana
Lineage: Eukaryota; Metazoa; Arthropoda; Insecta; Lepidoptera; Tortricidae
Exons: 3
Source: RefSeq, a predicted model, not a curated record